GAUGAACGCUGGCGGCGUGCUUAACACAUGCAAGUCGAACGAUGAAGCCCAGCUUGCUGGGUGGAUUAGUGGCGAACGGGUGAGUAACACGUGAGUAACCUGCCCUUAACUCUGGGAUAAGCCUGGGAAACUGGGUCUAAUACCGGAUAGGAGCGUCCACCGCAUGGUGGGUGUUGGAAAGAUUUAUCGGUUUUGGAUGGACUCGCGGCCUAUCAGCUUGUUGGUGAGGUAAUGGCUCACCAAGGCGACGACGGGUAGCCGGCCUGAGAGGGUGACCGGCCACACUGGGACUGAGACACGGCCCAGACUCCUACGGGAGGCAGCAGAGGGGAAUAUUGCACAAUGGGCGAAAGCCUGAUGCAGCGACGCCGCGUGAGGGAUGACGGCCUUCGGGUUGUAAACCUCUUUCAGUAGGGAAGAAGCGAAAGUGACGGUACCUGCAGAAGAAGCACCGGCUAACUACGUG
Molecule: ribosomal RNA, 466 nt
Filed under: uncultured bacterium
Lineage: Bacteria
Description: partial 16S ribosomal RNA
Rfam family: Bacterial small subunit ribosomal RNA
Source: RNAcentral